CAGCCCGCGGCGUGUCACGUCGGAGAAUACUUUCUGCAACUUCCGGUCCUUCCUACAUCAUGCAUUGCAUGCAGUAAGGCUGAUGUUAAUAAACGUUAAUGACCAAAUAAUCAGCAACUAAAAUAUAUGUCAGAAUGUGCUUGAUUAAAUGUCGCAAAUAAUUAUUUUAAUCGAAAAUUAUGGAUAAUACAAAGUAUUAUAUUUGGUGAGCUUAAUUACUUAUACAUAUAUAUUAAAUCAACCAUGCAUCAUGAAAUGACCAUGGAUUACUGAAUCAUAACUUCAACAAAAAGGAUUGCAUCAUAUUUAGGAAUGAAUGCUUUGUUCAACAUAGUAUUAACAUUGCGGGAUUUGAAAUCAAAGAGACGUGAAUCGUUUAAAUGUAAUUGGCACUAUGCAAAUGAAAUGACUCGAUUCUGAUCAGAAUCGUUUUGAAAAUGUUAAUGCACACAUUUAUUGCAUGCUGUACAAACACUGGCGAUAUCCCUGUAAAAAGAUGUGGAAGUAUAAUUAUGUACACAAAUAUAUUAAGCUGAACCUAAA
Molecule: long non-coding RNA, 543 nt
Organism: Bombus terrestris (buff-tailed bumblebee)
Lineage: Eukaryota; Metazoa; Arthropoda; Insecta; Hymenoptera; Apidae
Exons: 2
Source: RefSeq, a predicted model, not a curated record